Molecule: ribosomal RNA, 217 nt
Filed under: uncultured bacterium
Lineage: Bacteria
Description: partial 16S ribosomal RNA
Rfam family: Bacterial small subunit ribosomal RNA
Source: RNAcentral
AAGGCAACGAUCGGUAGCCGGACUGAGAGGUUGAACGGCCACAUUGGGACUGAGACACGGCCCAGACUCCUACGGGAGGCAGCAGUGGGGAAUAUUGCACAAUGGAGGAAACUCUGAUGCAGCGACGCCGCGUGAAGGAAGAAGGUCUUCGGAUUGUAAACUUCUGUUCUUAGUGAAGAUAGUGACGGUAGCUAAGGGGCAAGCCACGGCUAACUAC